RNAcentral lists this ribosomal RNA (367 nucleotides) under uncultured organism. RNAcentral's name for it is "bacterial SSU rRNA". It matches the Rfam family "Bacterial small subunit ribosomal RNA", at positions 526 to 896 of the family's 1533-position model. The record is from RNAcentral.
CGGAGGAUCCAAGCGUUAUCCGGAUUUAUGGGUUUAAAGGGUGCGUAGGCGGCUUAUUAAGUCAGGGGUGAAAGACGGUGGCUCAACCAUCGCAGUGCCCUUGAUACUGAUGAGCUUGAAUGAACUAGAGGUAGGCGGAAUGUGACAAGUAGCGGUGAAAUGCAUAGAUAUGUCACAGAACACCGAUUGCGAAGGCAGCUUACUAUGGUUUUAUUGACGCUGAGGCACGAAAGCGUGGGGAUCAAACAGGAUUAGAUACCCUGGUAGUCCACGCCCUAAACGAUGAAUACUCGCUGUUAGCGAUAUACAGUUAGCGGCUAAGCGAAAGCGUUAAGUAUUCCACCUGGGGAGUACGCCCGCAAGGGUG